AACGAACGCUGGCGGCAUGCCUAACACAUGCCAGUCGAACGAGACCUUCGGGUCUAGUGGCGCACGGGUGCGUAACGCGUGGGAACCUGCCCUUAGGUUCGGAAUAACUCCCCGAAAGGGGUGCUAAUACCGGAUAAUGUCUUCGGACCAAAGAUUUAUCGCCUUUGGAUGGGCACGCGUUGGAUUAGCUAGUUGGGAGAGUAAAAGCCUACCAAGGCGACGAUCCAUAGCUGGUCUGGGUGGAUGAUCAGCCACACUGGGACUGAGACACGGCCCAGACUCCUACGGGAGGGAGCAGGGGUGAAUAUGGGACAAUGGGCGAAAGCCUGAUCCAGCAAGGCCGCGUGAGUGAUGAAGGCCGGAGGGUUGUAAAGCUCUUUUACCCGGGAUGAUAAUGACAGUACCGGGAGAAUAAGCUCGGGCUAACUCCGUG
This 433-nucleotide ribosomal RNA is filed under the name uncultured bacterium. RNAcentral's name for it is "partial 16S ribosomal RNA". It matches the Rfam family "Bacterial small subunit ribosomal RNA", at positions 29 to 507 of the family's 1533-position model. The record is from RNAcentral.